AUGGGGUCGGCGAUCUCCAGAUGUGGACGCGGAGGAGAGGGACGGGCUCACGCGGAGGAGGCCCGCGGGUGGGGGGCGCGGAGGAGCUCCGGCGGUGGACGAGGCGGACGGGUCGGCAGCUGGGCGGAGGAGCUACGGCGGUUUAGGAGGACGGCGGCCCGGCGGCUGGGCGGAGGAGCUCCGGUGGUGGAGAGGCUCGGGGGAGGAGCUCCGGCGGUGGAGGAGGACGACGGCCGGCGGAGCGGUGGAGGCGUCCCAAGGAGGCCGACGGACGGCGGCAGGGUGGAGGCGUCCCGCGCUUGGGAUUCGCGGGUUUACGGCCACGGCGAGCUCUUCUACUGUCCCAUGUGCAUGGAGCUGGUGCCCAUCAACCUCAAAUCCAGCUUCGGCCCGUGCGGCCACGCCUUCUGCUCCAGCUGUGUCACCAUGUACGUCGCCGUGAAGCAGCGCGAGCGCGAGGACGUUGGUCGCGUCAAGUGCCCCGACUGCGAGAACGGCGUCCCCGUGUUCGUCACCGAGGGCGGUGGAGAUUUGCCGGCGGACGGCCACGGCGAGCCCUUCGACUGCGCCAUCUGCAUGGAGACGGUGCCCGGCACCCUCAAGUUCAGCGUCAGCUCGUGCGGCCACCCAUUCUGCCGGAGCUGCGUCGCCCAGUACGUGGCCGCGAAGCUGGAUGACAAGGUCGCUCGCGUGGAAUGCCCUCAUCCAGGCUGCGAGGCCGGCGCCGUGGAGCCGGAGAGCUUCCGCGGCAUCAUCCCCGCGGACCUCCUCGACAGGUGGGGCUUCCUGCUGUGCGAGCUCGCGGUCAGCGCCAAGAGGGUGUACUGCCCGUACCAAGAAUGCUCGGCGCUCCUGCUCGCGGACGCCGACACGAAGGCCAUCACGGAGGCGGAGUGCCCGCACUGCCACCGGCUCUUCUGCGCCCGGUGCGCCGUGCCAUGGCACGGCGGCCUGGGGUGCAAGGAGUUCCAGAACCUCGGGCAGGACGAGCGCGGCCGGAACGACCUCCUGCUCCGGCGCCUCGUCGGCAGAAAGGGAUGGCAGCGGUGCCCCAAGUGCCGGAUGUUCGUGGAGAAAUCGGAAGGCUGCAAUUACAUGAAAUGCAGGUGUGGAAACAGUUUCUGCUACCGAUGUGCAUCCAAGUUGUCAGCGCAAAACCAUUACUGCAAAAAGUGCAAGCGCUAA
This 1185-nucleotide ribosomal RNA is filed under the name Triticum aestivum (bread wheat). RNAcentral's name for it is "partial small subunit ribosomal RNA". The record is from RNAcentral. Lineage: Eukaryota; Viridiplantae; Streptophyta; Magnoliopsida; Poales; Poaceae.